CCCUUAGAUGUUCUGGGCCGCACGCGCGCUACACUGUUCGACGCAGCGAGUCUUAACCUUGACCGAAAGGUUUGGGUAAUCUUCAGCAAAGUCGAACGUGAUGGGGAUCGAUCAUUGCAAUUAUUGAUCGUGAACGAGGAAUUCCUAGUAAGUGCAAGUCAUCAGCUUGCGCUGACUACGUCCCUGCCCUUUGUACACACCGCCCGUCGCUACUACCGAUUGAAUGGUUUAGUGAGAUCUCUGGAUUGACGCUGGCUAGGGGGCGACCCUUGGCCAGACUGCUCGAGAAACUGCUCAAACUUGAUCAUUUAGAGGAAGUAAAAGUCGUAACA
Molecule: ribosomal RNA, 332 nt
Filed under: uncultured eukaryote
Lineage: Eukaryota
Description: partial 18S ribosomal RNA
Rfam family: Eukaryotic small subunit ribosomal RNA
Source: RNAcentral